This is a long non-coding RNA of Arachis duranensis, 1575 nucleotides long. RefSeq lists it as uncharacterized. The record is from RefSeq and is a predicted model, not a curated record. Lineage: Eukaryota; Viridiplantae; Streptophyta; Magnoliopsida; Fabales; Fabaceae. The transcript has 3 exons.
UAAUUGACUUUAUAUUUGGUGGCGGUUCUGGUGAUUAGGGCGGUUUUAAACCGCCGGUGUCACACCUAUAUAAAAGGAAAAAUUACAAUAACCUGGCUUAUUGAAACAGACGGCUUGCUCUCAUUCCAUAGUCUUCUUCUCAGAUCUCAGAUCUUCUUUCGCAUCUCUCAGAUCUUCUUCUCAGAUCUCAGAUCUCAAAUCUCACUGGUCUGCUACACUGCUUUGCCAACUGCUCCUUCACGCCGCCGAGCUCGUUGUCGCUGCCGACGGCUCCUUAUCACCGUUGCUAUAAGAAUAAGUUACUUGAUUUUCUAUAUAGUUGCUUGAUUUUCUAUAUUAUGUGAAAUUUCUAAUGUUUUAUUAUUAUUGUUUUAUGCUGCAUGUUCACGAAUCUUCGCAGCACAGGUUAGGAUAACAUCUCUUCUUCCUUAUGAUUUUCCUUUUCUGCACUUAUAUUUGAUUUAGUGAUGUCAUAGAGGAUAAUCUGGGAAGAAGAAUGCUGUAAGAAUAAGCAAAAACAUUUAGAUUUAUUGAUGUCAUAUAUAUAGUUGGUUGUCAUUAAUUAAGGUUUAUAAUUGAUUUCUUAGGUUAACAAUAUAUUCUAAUCCAAAAUCAACAAGCUGUGAUUAAUUUAGCUUAUCUGAUUAAUUUUUUCACAUGAUUCCUUCCCGUCUACAUGCAUCACUCUUCCUAAUUUUUAUAUUUUUUAACUAAAAAAUAUGGAGCUAUGACCUGUUACUUUCCUAAGAACUUCAAUCCCUCUUCCUAAUCUUUUUGUGUCUUAGAUUUUCUGUUCUGUGUAGCUGAUAAUGAACCUCAUUUUAUGAUCUCCUUUCCGAUUGAUCAAUCCUGUAGUUGUAUCCCCCACUAUUGCUGCUGUUGGACCUUCAUUUUUCAGUUAUGGUUUCCCAAUAGUUGGUACAUGUCUUGAGAUUGGUGCAAUACAGAUAUUGGUAGUGGUUGUUUUUCCUCUUAUAAGUUGUUGAUUUCAUCUUGAAUUUUUAUAUCAUUAUUUUAUUAUUGGUUCAGAAUUCCUAUGUGUAUGUUCAUUGUAUUGUUUGUGCAUUUUGCUAACACAUGAUGCAUGUUUGCUAUUCUAAACAUGAUGCAUGUUUGCUAUUUCUGCUGCUAUUCUCAUUCACUCAGAGAGGAAGAGGGUUUAGGACUGUGGAGUGUGUCACUGCUCAUUCUGACUCUCCUGAACGAUGCAAUACCUCCAAAAUGCAGCACAAUUUGAAGUCAAUUUCAAUUUAAUAGAGUCUCCUUAAGUUGAGGAACUUGAGGAAGUUAGACAAUUGUUCAGGUAUGAUCCAUGUACGGAAAAGUAUGCAGAGAUAUACUACAAUAGACCAGAUGUUCAGAAAGCACUUCAUGCUAACACUACUGGAAUUCCUUAUAAGUGGACUGCUUGCAGUGAGGUUUUGAAUCGAAACUGGAAUGAUACAGAUGUAUCAGUGCUACCAAUUUAUAGACAAUUGAUGGCCAAUAGAAUAAGAGUUUGGGUGUUCAGGUUUGUUAGUUAAUCAGUUGAAUUUUGCUUUGCAUAUACUUUAAUUUCAUGAAUUAAUUAAAAAU